Non-coding RNA from Actinobacteria bacterium RBG_13_35_12, 68 nucleotides. The record is from Rfam. NCBI's taxonomy places the organism in Bacteria, Bacillati, Actinomycetota.
UUAUGAUGCUAAAGAUAUAACAGUUUUAGAGGGCCUUUCUGCAGUUAGAAAAAGGCCCAGUAUGUAUA